AACGUGCAACAUUUUUAUUGAAGAAAAAUGCGAGUUGGACGGUAAUGCGAUCUACAUAUAUUAUUGCUUACUGUGUAUUCGCUGACAUCAUUUGGAUUAUGAAAAGCUAAAAUAUGAAACAUUGGAUACUCUUAAUGACCCAUUAAUUAAGAUCGAGCUUAACCAAGCGUCGUUUGUCGUUAAAAAAAAAAAAGAUUAAUUAGAAAACCACAGAUGUUGA
RNAcentral lists this long non-coding RNA (220 nucleotides) under Capsella rubella. RNAcentral describes it as "long non-coding RNA (CRUB_LNC002875)". Lineage: Eukaryota; Viridiplantae; Streptophyta; Magnoliopsida; Brassicales; Brassicaceae. The record is from RNAcentral.